UACGGAGGGGGCUAGCGUUGUUCGGAAUUACUGGGCGUAAAGGGCGCGUAGGCGGUUCUAUAAGUCAGAUGUGAAAGCCCCGGGCUUAACCCGGGAGGUGCAUUUGAAACUGUAGGGCUUGAGAUCGAGAGAGGAAAGUGGAAUUACGAGUGUAGAGGUGAAAUUCGUAGAUAUUCGUAAGAACACCAGUGGCGAAGGCGACUUUCUGGCUCGAUACUGACGCUGAGGUGCGAAAGCGUGGGGAGCAAACAGG
RNAcentral lists this ribosomal RNA (253 nucleotides) under uncultured bacterium. RNAcentral's name for it is "partial 16S ribosomal RNA". It matches the Rfam family "Bacterial small subunit ribosomal RNA", at positions 524 to 776 of the family's 1533-position model. The record is from RNAcentral.